Bactrocera oleae (olive fruit fly) is the source of this 1826-nucleotide non-coding RNA. NCBI's taxonomy places the organism in Eukaryota, Metazoa, Arthropoda, Insecta, Diptera, Tephritidae. The record is from RefSeq and is a predicted model, not a curated record.
UCGAGUUUACAACUUAUUGCUUAUAGUUCUUUAAUAAACAGCACUCUAAUUAGAACUGUGUCUGCUGAUCCGGCAGUCCUUAUAUACUAGAUCUUUAACAAAACUUUGCCACUAGAACAAUUGGGCAACUGAGAAUUCGCUGUCUAAUUGAUUCUGGCAACUUACCGUCGAUUCCAUUUUAUUCUAUCAUCUGUGUUCGUCACAGUAUUUUGUGACUAAAGACUGAAGACAACAUGAUAAAUAGACACAACUAGGCCGAACACAGCAGAAAAUGUUGGAUUUAUUUCAGCAAUAGCGACACAACUACAAAUAGUACUUUUUAGCUUAUACAGCACAGGCGAGGCAAACGAGGCAAUCAACACUGAAGUAGAUCACCUAACGGUGAUUUUCCAGUUAAGUAAGAUCUUCUUAAAAAGUGGUUAUUAUUCAUCUUUGCUCUUUUACCAUGUUAAUCAGGGGUGUUGUGGAAUCUGAUAGCUGUCGGAAUCAGAAUUGAAACCGAUAAAAAAAUGUAGUUGGUGUCAUGAAUUCAGAUAUUAUUGGUUUGAUGGUUGAAACGGGCUUUGUAAUGGUUUUGGGUGUCAUCGAAAUCAAUUUUAUCGGUUUUGAUAUCAGAAACAAAGCAAGAAGAUAAUCGCUCCAAAUUUAAAUAUUGCAUUGUUAUUUCCAUCGUAAAGGGGGAGUAGAGAAAGAAUCAGCUGAUCGAUGUCAACAAAGCUACAGCUGAGAGGGGUCCAUGGAGAAACGUCAAGUCCGCCUAGGGGUUGAGUUUCUGUUGACAGCCAAGAUGACCGAGUUUUAAUCGGAAAAUGGUUGCAUCUUGCUAUUUUCUUUUAAUUUAUGAAAAAUGUGUCCAAAAAAUAAUGGUUAUAUGUAAAACUUUAAUAUGUUUUCAAAAUAAAAUCAGUUUAUUUGAAUAUAUGUUCUUAAAGGAGCGGCUAUUAUUGGCAAAUUCUAGAAUAAUUACGAUAAAUAUUUAUGCCUUUUUUUAACUGUGGUAAAUUAAUAAAUAUUCACCACAGAAAAAUCUAAGGUGCAAUAAAGCAACCAUGUCAAAUAACGGGAUGCAGAAAAUGCUUAUUCAACGAAACUGAGGGCAAGGUUUAUAAAUUUGCAAAACAAUCUUCGUAAAAUAACGAAUAUUAAAUAUAUUAAGUAAUGCUCCUGAUAAAACUGUGCACACAAGAAUUUUUAUCAAUAAGCAGAGGAAACCUGUAGAAAAUAAUAAACCUUUUUUAACCCGCCCACAAUGUGCAUGAUAUUUAUAUCGUUUUGGAAGGAUUUUAUAAAAAGUUUCGGUGUCUUUGGGAUGAAAUUUACAUUGUAUAUAAUUUCAUUAAUAGACGCCCUGAUGCUUUACAUUGCGUACUUAAAUUCGAUUGAGUGAUUUUAAUUUAGAAACUGAUUUAUGUAUGAUAACGAUUUGGAAAGUGAAACAAAAAUUACGUUUUAAAUGAUACAAAAUUGUUUAUAUGUAAAUUACCAUACUCCUACGAUCAAAUUGCUUUUAUCAGAGUAAAUGUUUUAGUGUGCAUCUAAUUGUUUCGAAAGCUAAUAUGUGGUCAGUAUUAUAGUGCUCAACACCAACAAAAGUUAGAAUCAUGUGCAAUUUCUUCAUUUGCAACACCUCUAUUUGCAUUCAUUGAAACAAUUUAAAAAUCUAACCUGAUAAUAUAAAUAUAUACUUUGUUCUAAUAAAAACAUGAUUUUUUCUGUGCCAAAUAAUAUGUUUUAUUUCGUUAGAUUUUGGUACAUUUCCUUAUAUCUAUAUUGCAUUUUCCACACCACCAUGAGGUAUGCAACUAGGCGCGUUACCGAUUUUUUGG